AGUGAACGCUGGCGGUAGGCCUAACACAUGCAAGUCGAACGGCAGCACAGUAAGAGCUUGCUCUUACGGGUGGCGAGUGGCGGACGGGUGAGGAAUACAUCGGAAUCUACUUUUUCGUGGGGGAUAACGUAGGGAAACUUACGCUAAUACCGCAUACGACCUACGGGUGAAAGCAGGGGAUCUUCGGACCUUGCGCGAUUGAAUGAGCCGAUGCCGGAUUAGCUAGUUGGCGGGGUAAAGGCCCACCAAGGCGACGAUCCGUAGCUGGUCUGAGAGGAUGAUCGGCCACACUGGAACUGAGACACGGUCCAGACUCCUACGGGAGGCAGCAGUGGGGAAUAUUGGACAAUGGGCGCAAGCCUGAUCCAGCCAUACCGCGUGGGUGAAGAAGGCCUUCGGGUCGUAAAGCCCUUUUGUUGGGAAAGAAAAGCAGCAGGUUAAUACCCCGCUGUUCUGACGGUACCCAAAGAAUAAGCACCGGCUAACUUCGUG
This 492-nucleotide ribosomal RNA is filed under the name uncultured bacterium. Its description in RNAcentral is "partial 16S ribosomal RNA". It matches the Rfam family "Bacterial small subunit ribosomal RNA", at positions 29 to 507 of the family's 1533-position model. The record is from RNAcentral.